RNAcentral lists this ribosomal RNA (423 nucleotides) under uncultured bacterium. RNAcentral describes it as "bacterial SSU rRNA". It matches the Rfam family "Bacterial small subunit ribosomal RNA", at positions 362 to 776 of the family's 1533-position model. The record is from RNAcentral.
UCUUGCGCAAUGGCCGAAAGGCUGACGCAGCGACGCCGCGUGCGGGAUGACGCUUUUCGGAGUGUAAACCGCUGUCAGGUGGGAAGAAGGUCCCGGGGAGGAAAUGUCCUGGUGAUGACGGUACCACCAGAGGAAGCACCGGCUAACUUCGUGCCAGCAGCCGCGGUAAUACGAAGGGUGCGAGCGUUGUUCGGAAUUAUUGGGCGUAAAGCGCACGUAGGCGGCCUUGUAAGUAUCACUGUGAAAGCCCGGGGCUCAACCCCGGGAGGCCAGGGGAUACUGCGAGGCUGGAGACAAGCAGAGGUUGGUAGAAUUCCGGGUGUAGCGGUGGAAUGCGUAGAGAUCCGGAGGAAUACCAGAGGCGAAGGCGGCCAACUGGGCUUGUUCUGACGCUGAGGUGCGAAAGCGUGGGGAGCAAACAGG